GACGUAGGGGGCCAGCGUUGUUCGGAAUUACUGGGUGUAAAGGGUUCGUAGGCGGUGUGGCAAGUCGGGAGUGAAAUCUCUGGGCUCAACUCAGAGACUGCUUCCGAAACUGCUGUGCUGAAGUGUGGGAGAGGCGCGUGGAAUUGCAGGUGUAGCGGUGAAAUGCGUAGAUAUCUGCAGGAACACCCGUGGCGAAAGCGGCGCGCUGGACCACUACUGACGCUGAGGAACGAAAGCUAGGGGAGCAAACAGG
Molecule: ribosomal RNA, 253 nt
Filed under: uncultured bacterium
Lineage: Bacteria
Description: partial 16S ribosomal RNA
Rfam family: Bacterial small subunit ribosomal RNA
Source: RNAcentral